UUAGAGUUUGAUUUUGGCUCAGGAUAAACGCUAGCGGCGCGCCUAAUGCAUGCAAGUCGAGCGAUGAUCCUUCGGGGUCAUAGCGGCAGACGGGUGAGUAACACGUGGGUGACCUGCCCCAAAGCCGGUGGAUAACGACUGGAAACGGUUGCUAAUACCCGAUGUGCUCGGUAAUUCGUUUUACCGAGUAAAGUUCCGGCGCUUUGGGAGGGGCCCGCGGCCCAUCAGCUAGUUGGUAGGGUAGAGGCCUACCAAGGCGAUGACGGGUAGGGGACCUGAGAGGGUGGCCCCCCACAAUGGAACUGAAACACGGUCCAUACACCUACGGGUGGCAGCAGUGAGGAAUAUUGGUCAAUGGGCGCAAGCCUGAACCAGCCAUCCCGCGUGCAGGAAGACGGCCCUAUGGGUUGUAAACUGCUUUUCCAGGGGGAGAAUUUUUCUGUCGUGACAGGAAUUGACGGUACCCUGGGAAUAAGCAUCGGCUAACUCCGUGCCAGCAGCCGCGGUAAUACGGAGGAUGCGAGCGUUAUCCGGAUUUAUUGGGUUUAAAGGGUGCGUAGGCGGAUUGAUAAGUCAGUGGUGAAAACCUGCAGCUUAACUGUAGACUUGCCGUUGAUACUGUCAGUCUUGAGUGUGGUCAAGGUAGGCGGAAUGUGUAAUGUAGCGGUGAAAUGCUUAGAUAUUACACAGAACACCGAUUGCGAAGGCAGCUUACUGGGCCAUUACUGACGCUGAUGCACGAAAGCGUGGGGAUCGAACAGGAUUAGAUACCCUGGUAGUCCACGCCGUAAACGAUGAUCACUCGCUGUUAGCGAUACACAGUUAGCGGCUAAGCAAAAGCAUUAAGUGAUCCACCUGGGGAGUACGGCCGCAAGGCUGAAACUCAAAGGAAUUGACGGGGGCCCGCACAAGCGGAGGAACAUGUGGUUUAAUUCGAUGAUACGCGAGGAACCUUACCUGGGCUUAAAUGUAGAGUGCAUUCAGCUGAAAGGCUGAUUUCCUUCGGGACUUUCUGCAAGGUGCUGCAUGGUUGUCGUCAGCUCGUGCCGUGAGGUGUCGGGUUAAGUCCCAUAACGAGCGCAACCCUUAUCGUUAGUUGCCAGCGGGUAAUGCCGGGAACUCUAACGAAACUGCCGGUGUAAACCGAGAGGAAGGUGGGGAUGACGUCAAAUCAGCACGGCCCUUAUGUCCAGGGCUACACACGUGUUACAAUGGCCGGUACAGAGGGCAGCUAUGCCGCGAGGCAAUGCGAAUCUCGAAAGCCGGUCUCAGUUCGGAUCGGAGUCUGCAACUCGACUCCGUGAAGCUGGAUUCGCUAGUAAUCGCGCAUCAGCCAUGGCGCGGUGAAUACGUUCCCGGGCCUUGUACACACCGCCCGUCAA
This 1382-nucleotide ribosomal RNA is filed under the name uncultured bacterium. RNAcentral's name for it is "partial 16S ribosomal RNA". It matches the Rfam family "Bacterial small subunit ribosomal RNA". The record is from RNAcentral.